Molecule: long non-coding RNA, 977 nt
Organism: Parasteatoda tepidariorum (common house spider)
Lineage: Eukaryota; Metazoa; Arthropoda; Arachnida; Araneae; Theridiidae
Source: RefSeq, a predicted model, not a curated record
AAGGGAGAUGAAUGCUCCUUAUCAAUACCAAGAAUCUGAUGAAAGAAAACUCUUUGAGGAACGCUGAUCGUCUAUCGCAUUCCUGGAAUGUUUUGGUGUUCAAAGAUAUGAGUUUUUAAAGAUGGUCCGAUUUGUUUAGAAAGAUUCGUUGGAGAAGAGAAUUUUUGACAGCUGACAAGUAAAUAUAGAGAAAGAAAUACCAAUUGUUUGUUUACAUUUGCUACAUCAUCAGUCUAAAUUCAGUCUUUUUAUUUUGAGUGAAAAAAAAAGAACAUGCCAUCAUCACGUUUCUAUGUGGCAGGAAUGUUAUUGUUCUUAAUGAUGCUGAGCUUUGAUAUGAAAACUACAGAAGGUAGACGAUGUACCAGAAUUUGCGAGAAAGGGAGAUGCAGACCCGUAUGCUCUCGUUCUAUGGAUUUUGUAGAUGAAGCACCCGUGGAUGAGACAGAAAUACUUAGAAAUCUGGGUUAUCAGUGACAAGAGCAUCGACCGAACCUGAUAUAAUCUGAAGUAAGGAUCAUCAGAUGUAAUUUUUCCUCACUGACUGGUUGACAUAAUGGAUUGAUUCAGCAGAAAACGCUUCAAAAAUUGGUCAUUUAUGUUUUAAUCUCAUUACCUUUUGUUACAAACUUAUUUUUGCAUGACUUAUUUAAACAAUAUAUCGUACAAAUCUGUCAGUUUCCAUUACAGUAAACUACUCUUUUAAAAAUAUUUUUGCAUGAACAAAAAGGAAAUUAGAUUUAGAAUAUUUAUAUUCGUUUUUGAACUCGUAAAACUCUAUGGUAACAGCUUAAAUCUUCUUACAUUCAUUUAAUAUUUCUGUAUAACUAGCAGUAGAUUUAGACCAUUAAAAUAGUAGUAUACAACACUUACAUACUUAUUGUAAGAAUGUAGAAGUUAUGUGCUUAAACUUUUGAUGUAUUUUCGAAUUUAUGUAUAAGCUGCUUAACGUGCAAAUAAACUAGAGUAACAUCAAA